CCGGCGGCGGCCGCGCGAGCGCACGCCUGGCGCAGCAGACCGGCCGGCGCGGCGAGCAGCGCGGCGGCGACGUGGAGCGGCGUGGUCUGGCCAUGCCUCCUCCGCGCAGCCUCGUCGAUGGCACGCGCCAGCGCCGCCGCCGCCUCCGGCGUGAGCGUCUGCUGGAUGGUGCUGAGAUCCGCUCUCAUCGCCGCCACCCGCCGCUCAUCAAUCGAUCGCAAGAACCGAAAAGACCCCCUUUUGGCUCGGUGACCAAGAAGUUAUUGUUGCCCGGCACCGACCUGGAAGUCGGAAGACGUCGGGGCUUAGGAAAAGGAGAGGCUUGGAGGGGAGCGGAGGUGUGGUGGUAUCGACUAUCGAGAGAGAAAUGGCAGGAAGGGAGGAGUCAGGUGAGGGCAGAAAGAGAAGGCGAGAACUGAAGUAGUAGUAGCAGAGGAGCAGAGGG
RNAcentral lists this unclassified non-coding RNA (445 nucleotides) under Zea mays. RNAcentral describes it as "misc RNA Zm00001eb412810". The record is from RNAcentral. Lineage: Eukaryota; Viridiplantae; Streptophyta; Magnoliopsida; Poales; Poaceae.